Molecule: non-coding RNA, 510 nt
Organism: Xyrichtys novacula (pearly razorfish)
Lineage: Eukaryota; Metazoa; Chordata; Actinopteri; Labriformes; Labridae
Source: the annotation of a GenBank genome assembly
UUUACAGACUGAUUACAGACUGGUUAUUUUUACAGACUGUUUACAGACUGGUCGUGUUUACAGACUGAUUACAGACUGGUUAUUUUUACAGACUGUUUACAGACUGGUCGUGUUUACAGACUGAUUACAGACUGGUCGUGUUUACAGACUGAUUACAGACUGGUCAUGUUUACAGACUGAUUACAGACUGGUUGUGUUUACAGACUGAUUACAGACUGGUCAUGUUUACAGACUGAUUACAGACUGGUCGUGUUUACAGACUGAUUACAGACUGGUCGUGUUUACAGACAUUCCAGGACAUUUUUACAGACUGAUUACAGACUGGUUAUUUGUACAGACUGAUUACAGACUGGUCAUGUUUACAGACUGAUUACAGACUGGUCAUGUUUACAGACUGAUUACAGACUGGUCAUGUUUACAGACUGAUUACAGACUGGUUAAUUUUACAGACUGAUUACAGACUGGUCAUGUUUACAGACUGAUUACAGACUGGUCGUGUUUGGACGAACU